CGAAAUAGAACUCAGGCUAAAACCGCGACGUCCUGUCGCAACGCCUGAGUGACCAGCAUCAUGCGGG
RNAcentral lists this small RNA (67 nucleotides) under Cytobacillus oceanisediminis. RNAcentral describes it as "Bacillus oceanisediminis Bacillaceae-1 RNA". It matches the Rfam family "Bacillaceae-1 RNA". Lineage: Bacteria; Bacillati; Bacillota; Bacilli; Caryophanales; Bacillaceae. The record is from RNAcentral.